RNAcentral lists this ribosomal RNA (485 nucleotides) under uncultured bacterium. RNAcentral's name for it is "partial 16S ribosomal RNA". It matches the Rfam family "Bacterial small subunit ribosomal RNA", at positions 28 to 523 of the family's 1533-position model. The record is from RNAcentral.
GACGAACGCUGGCUGCGUGCUUAACACAUGCAAGUCGAACGCUGAAGCCAGAAGCUUGCUUCUGGUGGAUGAGCGGCGAACGGGUGAGUAACACGUGAGUAACCUGCCCCUGAUUUCGGGAUAAGCCUGGGAAACCGGGUCUAAUACCGGAUACGACCACCUGACGCAUGUCGGGUGGUGGAAAGUUUUUCGAUCGGGGAUGGGCUCGCGGCCUAUCAGCUGGUUGGUGGGGUCAUGGCCUACCAAGGCGACGACGGGUAGCCGGCCUGAGGGGGCGACCGGGCAAACUGGGACUGAGACACGGCCCAGACGCCUACGGGAGGCAGCAGUGGGGAAUAUUGCACAAUGGGGGAAACCCUGAUGCAGCGACGCAGCGUGCGGGAUGACGGCCUUCGGGUUGUAAACCGCUUUCAGCAGGGAAGAAGCGAAAGUGACGGUACCUGCAGAAGAAGUACCGGCUAACUACGUGCCAGCCGCCGCGGUAA